RNAcentral lists this ribosomal RNA (123 nucleotides) under Erythrobacter sp. HI0019. RNAcentral describes it as "partial 16S ribosomal RNA". It matches the Rfam family "Bacterial small subunit ribosomal RNA", at positions 1 to 134 of the family's 1533-position model. Lineage: Bacteria; Pseudomonadati; Pseudomonadota; Alphaproteobacteria; Sphingomonadales; Erythrobacteraceae. The record is from RNAcentral.
CAAACUUGAGAGUUUGAUCCUGGCUCAGAACGAACGCUGGCGGCAUGCCUAACACAUGCAAGUCGAACGAACCCUUCGGGGUGAGUGGCGCACGGGUGCGUAACGCGUGGGAACCUGCCUUUA